Molecule: ribosomal RNA, 450 nt
Filed under: uncultured bacterium
Lineage: Bacteria
Description: partial 16S ribosomal RNA
Rfam family: Bacterial small subunit ribosomal RNA
Source: RNAcentral
GUGGGGAAUAUUGGACAAUGGGCGAAAGCCUGAUCCAGCCAUGCCGCGUGUGUGAAGAAGGUCUUCGGAUUGUAAAGCACUUUAAGUUGGGAGGAAGGGCAGUAAGUUAAUACCUUGCUGUUUUGACGUUACCGACAGAAUAAGCACCGGCUAACUUCGUCCCAGCAGCCGCGGUAAUACGAAGGGUGCAAGCGUUAAUCGGAAUUACUGGGCGUAAAGCGCGCGUAGGUGGUUUUGUAAGUUGGAGGUGAAAUCCCCGGGCUCAACCUGGGAACUGCCUCCAAAACUGCAUGACUAGAGUACGGUAGAGGGUAGUGGAAUUUCCUGUGUAGCGGUGAAAUGCGUAGAUAUAGGAAGGAACACCAGUGGCGAAGGCGACUACCUGGACUGAUACUGACACUGAGGUGCGAAAGCGUGGGGAGCAAACAGGAUUAGAAACCCCGGUAGUCC